RNAcentral lists this ribosomal RNA (497 nucleotides) under uncultured bacterium. RNAcentral describes it as "partial 16S ribosomal RNA". It matches the Rfam family "Bacterial small subunit ribosomal RNA", at positions 28 to 507 of the family's 1533-position model. The record is from RNAcentral.
GAUGAACGCUGGCGGCGUGCCUAAUACAUGCAAGUCGAGCGAACAGACGAGGAGCUUGCUCCUCUGACGUUAGCGGCGGACGGGUGAGUAACACGUGGAUAACCUACCUAUAAGACUGGGAUAACUUCGGGAAACCGGAGCUAAUACCGGAUAAUAUAUUGAACCGCAUGGUUCAAUAGUGAAAGACGGUUUUGCUGUCACUUAUAGAUGGAUCCGCGCCGCAUUAGCUAGUUGGUAAGGUAACGGCUUACCAAGGCAACGAUGCGUAGCCGACCGGAGAGGGUGGUCGGCCACACUGGAACUGAGACACGGUCCAGACUCCUACGGGAGGCAGCAGUAGGGAAUCUUCCGCAAUGGGCGAAAGCCUGACGGAGCAACGCCGCGUGAGUGAUGAAGGUCUUCGGAUCGUAAAACUCUGUUAUUAGGGAAGAACAAAUGUGUAAGUAACUAUGCACGUCUUGACGGUACCUAAUCAGAAAGCCACGGCUAACUACGUG